This 409-nucleotide ribosomal RNA is filed under the name uncultured soil bacterium. RNAcentral describes it as "bacterial SSU rRNA". It matches the Rfam family "Bacterial small subunit ribosomal RNA", at positions 26 to 418 of the family's 1533-position model. The record is from RNAcentral.
AGAUUGAACGCUGGCGGAAUGCUUUACACAUGCAAGUCGAACGGCAGCACGGGACUCAGGCAACUGAGCCCUGGUGGCGAGUGGCGAACGGGUGAGUAACAUAUCGGAACGUACCCAGUCGUGGGGGAUAACUCUCCGAAAGGAGAGCUAAUACCGCAUACGUCCUGAGGGAGAAAGCGGGGGACCUAAGGGUAACUGAGGGCCUCGCGCGAUUGGAGCGGCCGAUAUCGGAUUAGCUAGUUGGUGAGGUAAAGGCUCACCAAGGCGACGAUCCGUAGCGGGUCUGAGAGGACGACCCGCACACUGGAACUGAGACACGGUCCAGACUCCUACGGGAGGCAGCAGUGGGGAAUUUUGGACAAUGGGGGCAACCCUGAUCCAGCCAUUCCGCGUGAGUGAAGAAGGCCUC